Molecule: long non-coding RNA, 1078 nt
Organism: Ruditapes philippinarum (Manila clam)
Lineage: Eukaryota; Metazoa; Mollusca; Bivalvia; Venerida; Veneridae
Exons: 5
Source: RefSeq, a predicted model, not a curated record
AUCCGUGCAGCCUAAUCAGGAUCCAUGCUGUUCGCUAUCAGUUUCUCUACUAAUACGGUUGGUAAGCAAACAGCAUGGAUCCUGAUCAGACUGCGCGGAUGCGCAGGCUGGUCUGGAUCCAUGCUGGUCGCAACGCACUAUGUUGGUUUUGGCGUGACGCGGCUUUUAUAUUAUCACAGAUUGCUUGUAAAAAUUACUGUGCCCUAUACUUUACAAGGCAAUCCUGCACAUAAGCGUUAAAUUAUAUCAGAUAUUUUAUUAAGUAAAAGCUCUCAUAUUGUGCAAAAUUACGGAGAGAAAAAAAAAUUCUUAUCUUUAAAUGAAUAAAAAAAAGAAAUCUUUUAUUUUUAAGGUAUAUAGAUUUGAUAAAAAGAAAUGAUUAUUAGAUAUUUGUUGCUUCACACUAUUAUGUCCUACUUUAAGUAUAGGAAUCAAGAUUUAGUAAGUAGUAAGUAAGUAACAACUUUAUUUAAUGAGGCUAACACAUUCAGUUUCCUGAUCUUCCAUGCGGGCCUCAGUUAAUUUUCUUUUUUCAACAACAGUAAUUCUGUUUUUGAAACAGGGACCAAGAUGCAGCGAAUUCGGAGAGGUUUACGUACAAAUGGCAUCAGCGGUUACAAGAUCUCGAACUCACCACGUCGGCUAUCACUCCUAAUAUGCAGACAACUGUAAAUAUAGGGAGUACAAGCUCAACUAUUAUGUCCCCUAAAACAGAGAGGUCGGAAGAGGAUCCAUAUGAUGUAGCGUCAGAACUUACAGACAUGAUGCAUGACAUAUCAGUGCUAGCAAAGAUAAACCAGAUGGUCUCUACCCUAAAACUUUCCUAUCCAGGUUUGACAGAAGAUAAUUUACAUAGCAUAAUUGCAAAGCUUCUGAUAAUAAGAAAGAGAUACAGAGUAAAGACUAUCAACUUCAGAUGUUAAACUCUAGUACUAUAAUACUUCAGGAUAAAGUCAGGAAGAGGAAGUAUGUGUUCAGUGCAUCCAGUGCUAGUGUGAAACAAGAAUGGUGUGUAGACUUCCUACUGGCAAAAUAUGCUCAAGACAUUAUAAAUAUACCAAGUUGGCAUAGACAAGAU